GGCCACAAGCAGAAGUACCAAAAGCUCUGAGAAAAGUCAUUGUUGAAAAGAGCUGGUAGACUCCAAGAUUUAUCUUCCCUUCCAACAGGAAGUGUUGAGGUGUUAACCAGCCAUGAAACAGGCAUAGGUGAAACGGGUGAGACAAGAAGGCUGGAGUGGCUGGCUGGGAAGAAUGUCCUUCUUCUCGCUGGGAUAAAGCUCUGGAGCUAUGAGACAAUGGAUCUUCAUAAUGACACCUUGAUGGGGUUCCUGGAGUUAAGUCCACCAAAGUAAGGUGGGGGCUAUUUAAGAUAGGAGUUUCUCAUUCUCCUACUAGUUCACCAACAGCGUCCAGGAAUUCAUCAAAAUUACCAUUUCAGUGUUCCUACAAGUCAAUGGCUCCAGCAUCUUCUGAUCCUGGUAAACAAAUCUUGACUGUGACUUUCAGGAUGUGCUUGUCUCUUAAGUGAUGUACCCUGUGAUCUCAGUUCUCUGAUGGGUCCAAGAAAAGUCGCUGAACUUUUGUUUGCAUAGCCUUUUCUUAUCUUAAGGAUGUUUGGAAUGAUGACUUCUAAGUUUCUUACAUGUCAGAGUGGAAACCAGAAAUCCAUUUGGAAUAAAUUUAAUAAUUUUUUCCUAGUCUAAAUUUCUUUUUUGCUUAUUUAUAAGAGAAAAUUUUGAAAUCUUUAAAAAUAUAAAAUAAGAAUUUAAAAUUUCCUUCACAUAUUCGGUCUUUUUUUUUUUUUUUUUUGGAUACUAAUGCACACCACCAAGGUUUGUUGCUGUUUUUCCCAGCAUUUCUAUGAGGCAGAUAUUAGUUGUGUGACCUUGGAAAAGUUAAUUAUCCUGUCUGUGCUCCAGUUUUCUCAUUGGUAAUAUAGACUAUAAAUAGUACUUUCUUU
Mirounga angustirostris (Northern elephant seal) is the source of this 881-nucleotide long non-coding RNA. RefSeq lists it as uncharacterized. The transcript has 4 exons. The record is from RefSeq and is a predicted model, not a curated record. Lineage: Eukaryota; Metazoa; Chordata; Mammalia; Carnivora; Phocidae.